CUGUUUCUGGUGGUUUUAUGAUGUCUUCUGUAUGUUGAUUGUCUCUCUCUUUCUCUGUCUCUCUUGGGAAAACGGAGUAAUCUGUACGUUUUAUCCAGGUAGUAAAAGAAUUAAAGCUUUAGAAAAGCUGCAAGAAUUCAUGGUGUCAGGUUUCAGUCCAGCAGCAGAAACGGAAAACUAAACCAGGCUGGCCGGCUCUGCUUCUCCCCCCCCACUUCGUCCUCUGCGGCCUUGUCCGGCCUGGAGGGGGGGAGAAGCCAAGGCAGAGCCUGUUACCUUUCCAGAAAUCACAAACACAAAGAGGACAAGAGAGCUUUGGCUGUACAUCUUAAGGGGGUGUUCACAAGUUGACUUCACUUUUUCAUGGUCAAAACUGUUGUCACUUCUUAGAAAUGACUGCUAAUUGGUCAGGAGGAAGGACUCCCAUCAGCCACCAGCAGCUUCAACGUCCUCAGCUCUCAAAACCACCUUAAAGGUAAAGCCACGCCAUGACACAUUUUUACUGAGCUCUCGUGUUCCUUUCUGAUUCAGAAGAGCCCAUUCUGCACUGCCUUAUCUGACCCUUUAGGACUCUACCCAGGCAGACCAUGUGCAUUUUUAUUUUAAAAAUGGGAACAAGUUCAAAAUCAUCUUUCUUUUUAGUCUUUGCUCUUAUUAGUUCCUGCUUCCUUCACUUCCAGGACCGAGUUUUCCAAGGACACUGUUCACACACCACCUUUGCUCCUUUACCUUUGGGCUCCCCAUGGAGUGGCAAUGUUUCCUUUUGGGUGCUGCCCUCAGGAAUGAGGUGAAACCAACGUCUGAAACUUUGGAAGGAACAAAUGAAAGGAUUAGGCUCCUGAAAAAGGAAUGUUGAGGUAAGGUGUAGGUGAGACAUAGCAAAUUUCCCAUCUGUCAGAAGGAGGAGAAAGAAACGUUUCCUGUCCCUGCUAAGACAGGGAGCAGGAAGUGUGACUUGGAGAAGGAGAGUUUAAUCCAUCUAUUAAAAAAAACAGUGAUAAACUACAGCAGACUGAUUAGGAAACAUUGUUUGU
Molecule: long non-coding RNA, 1034 nt
Filed under: Cyanistes caeruleus (blue tit)
Lineage: Eukaryota; Metazoa; Chordata; Aves; Passeriformes; Paridae
Description: lncRNA (ENSCCEG00000004095.1)
Source: RNAcentral